This 429-nucleotide ribosomal RNA is filed under the name Gemmatimonadota bacterium. RNAcentral describes it as "Gemmatimonadetes bacterium partial 16S ribosomal RNA". It matches the Rfam family "Bacterial small subunit ribosomal RNA", at positions 355 to 776 of the family's 1533-position model. Lineage: Bacteria; Pseudomonadati; Gemmatimonadota. The record is from RNAcentral.
UAGGGAAUCUUCGGCAAUGGACGAAAGUCUGACCGAGCAACGCCGCGUGAGUGAUGAAGGUUCUCGGAUCGUAAAACUCUGUUGUUAGAGAAGAACAAGGACGUUAGUAACUGAACGUCCCCUGACGGUAUCUAACCAGAAAGCCACGGCUAACUACGUGCCAGCAGCCGCGGUAAUACGUAGGCGGCAAGCGUUGUCCGGAUUUAUUGGGCGUAAAGCGAGCGCAGGCGGUUUCUUAAGUCUGAUGUGAAAGCCCCCGGCUCAACCGGGGAGGGUCAUUGGAAACUGGGAGACUUGAGUGCAGAAGAGGAGAGUGGAAUUCCAUGUGUAGCGGUGAAAUGCGUAGAUAUAUGGAGGAACACCAGUGGCGAAGGCGGCUCUCUGGUCUGUAACUGACGCUGAGGCUCGAAAGCGUGGGGAGCAAACAGG